AUUGAACGCUGGCGGCAGGCCUAACACAUGCAAGUCGAAUGGUAACAGGAAACAGCUUGCUGUUUCGCUGUCGUGUGGCGCACGGGUGUGUCAUGUCUGGGACACUGCCUGAUGGAGGGGGAUAACUACUGGAAACGGUAGCUAAUACCGCAUAACGUCGCAACCCCAUAGAGGGGGACCUUCGGGACUCUUGCCCUCAUAUGUGCCCAGAUGGGAUUAGCUAGUAGGUGGGGUAACGGCUCACCUAGGCGGCGAUGCCUAGCUGGUCUGAGAGGAUGACCAGCCACACUGGAACUGAGACACGGUCCAGACUCCUACGGGAGGCAGCAGUGGGGAAUAUUGCACAAUGGGCGCAAGUCUGAUGGAGCCACGCCGCGUGUAUGAAGAAGGCUUUCGGGUUGUAAAGUACUGUCAGCGGGGAGGAAGGAAGGAAAGUGUAUACCUUUGCUCAUUGACGUUACCCACAGAAGAAGCACCGGCUAACUCCGUG
Molecule: ribosomal RNA, 490 nt
Filed under: uncultured bacterium
Lineage: Bacteria
Description: partial 16S ribosomal RNA
Rfam family: Bacterial small subunit ribosomal RNA
Source: RNAcentral